Molecule: non-coding RNA, 70 nt
Organism: Chryseobacterium arachidis
Lineage: Bacteria; Pseudomonadati; Bacteroidota; Flavobacteriia; Flavobacteriales; Weeksellaceae
Source: Rfam
GAAGCAGUAAUUUAAAUGGAAAAAUAUCUCAAACCUCGAGAAAUUGCGAGUUCAAAUCUUGCCUGUUUCC